UGUCGAGUCUUGUCAAGCAGCGUUGGUGGAGCUCUUAAGGGAGAGCAGCCUCUUCUCCUUGCUCUUCUCCUUUUCCUUGGGAGCUUGCUUCUCUUUGGCUGAAGGCUAGAGCUUGGGCUUGGAGGAGAUUCCUUUCACUGGCUAGAUUUGAGAUUUUGGUAGCAAGCCCUAGUUCGCGGGACUUGGUGAACCCGAUUCUGUAGUUCGGAGCCAGUUCAUCUCCAUUCCUGGCUCGCCCAGCUAGGAGGAGUAAGUCCUAGCCAUGUGCACAUGUGUUCUGUAGUAGCGCUACCCCCGACUGCGGUCGAAGAUCCAGCUUCGGCUGUUGAUAUUCUGUUCUGUUCUGUCCCGACUUCACAGUCGAUGAUCCAACCUCGUGCUGUCAAUUUCUGUUAUUAGCCAGGGAGAUGUACAUGACUGAAUCUGCGUGUUUUCCGUAGUUUUGGAUUAUUUCUGUAUUCUGUGUUUUCUGUAUUCUGUAUGAAGUAUGAUAUAGUAUUCUGCAAUAUCUGCUUUAUCUGUUGUUUCUGCGACCCUACUGGGCCCUUGUGGCUCAUACACUCUGUGAACUCUGUUCUCGCAGGAGAAGAUCAAGUCUAGGAUCGGGGGGUGUCUGGGAGUGUAUUUUCCGCUGUUAUCAGUAUCUCUGUAGUACACUUUUCUGUGAGUGUAAGGCUUGUAUUCUGACAGUAUUUAUGUAUUGAGAACUAUUGGGUUCAUCUUUGUGUUAUGUAGGGCUGCUAAGGCCCGUACUUGUAAUAUUUCAGUUUCUAGUAUCCUAUUUGUGCUUC
This is a long non-coding RNA of Dioscorea cayenensis subsp. rotundata (Guinea yam), 791 nucleotides long. RefSeq lists it as uncharacterized. The record is from RefSeq and is a predicted model, not a curated record. The transcript has 3 exons. Lineage: Eukaryota; Viridiplantae; Streptophyta; Magnoliopsida; Dioscoreales; Dioscoreaceae.